This 568-nucleotide long non-coding RNA is filed under the name Brassica napus (rape). RNAcentral describes it as "long non-coding RNA (BNAP_LNC016179)". The record is from RNAcentral. Lineage: Eukaryota; Viridiplantae; Streptophyta; Magnoliopsida; Brassicales; Brassicaceae.
CAGAAAGCAAAUGUCACGACGACAAAGAUUGCGAAAACGUGAAGCUACCGUGUCCGGGGCCUCUCGCAUGUUUGUAUGGUGGCUGCGUUUGUACGUACCUGGAUAAGCCACUCGACAUUCCCAAUUCUCAAAUCAAAAGUGCGCAUUCCGGGAAAAAAAUUAUAAACCUCCAUGAUUCUAGUGUUUAACCAUUACAUCUGUGGUGACAGAUAACAUAAAAAUGUGACAAUAAUAUAAUUUGAAUUAAUUAAUCACUACCUUUUUAUUUAUUUUUGAAAAUCUAUAUGAAGGUAUGACAACAACAGAAAGCAAAUGUCACGACGACAAAGAUUGCGAAAACGUGAAGCUACCGUGUCCGGGGCCUCUCGCAUGUUUGUAUGGUGGCUGCGUUUGUACGUACCUGGAUAAGCCACUCGACAUUCCCAAUUCUCAAAUCAAAAGUGCGCAUUCCGGGAAAAAAGUUAUAAACCUCCAUGAUUCUAGUGUUUAACCAUUACAUCUGUGGUGACAGAAUAAAAAUGUGACAACAAUAUAAUUUGCAAACGUUGAAUGAAAAAAGUAAUAUUUA